GAUCAUAGGGAAAAUGGGUCCUAUUCCUCAUUCUUACUCAGCAGUUCACCUUCCUUCGUAUUUAUUGAAUAAUGCUGAUAAAUACAAAUAUCUCUUGCCUGGUAACUGCCAGCGAGAACGUGGCUGAACUGCUGAAGUUUCUUGGAAAAUAAGGCACAUUUUGUAAACGUUGGAGGUGCAUAUUGUUCUUCACACCAGAAAGGGCCG
RNAcentral lists this unclassified non-coding RNA (207 nucleotides) under Hevea brasiliensis (rubber tree). The record is from RNAcentral. Lineage: Eukaryota; Viridiplantae; Streptophyta; Magnoliopsida; Malpighiales; Euphorbiaceae.